This 253-nucleotide ribosomal RNA is filed under the name uncultured bacterium. Its description in RNAcentral is "partial 16S ribosomal RNA". It matches the Rfam family "Bacterial small subunit ribosomal RNA", at positions 524 to 776 of the family's 1533-position model. The record is from RNAcentral.
UACGAAGGGGGCUAGCGUUGCUCGGAAUCACUGGGCGUAAAGGGUGCGUAGGCGGGGCUUUAAGUCAGGGGUGAAAUCCUGGAGCUCAACUCCGGAACUGCCUUUGAUACUGAAGAUCUUGAGUUCGGGAGAGGUGAGUGGAACUGCGAGUGUAGAGGUGAAAUUCGUAGAUAUUCGCAAGAACACCAGUGGCGAAGGCGGCUCACUGGCCCGAUACUGACGCUGAGGCACGAAAGCGUGGGGAGCAAACAGG